GAUGAAGAACGUAGCGAAAUGCGAUACGUAAUGUGAAUUGCAAAUUCAGUGAAUCAUCGAGUCUUUGAACGCACAUUGCGCCCCCUGGUAUUCCGGGGGGCAUGCCUGUCCGAGCGUCAUUGCUGCCCUCAAGCACGGCUUGUGUGUUGGGCCCCGUCCUCCGAUCCCGGGGGACGGGCCCGAAAGGCAGCGGCGGCACCGCGUCCGGUCCUCGAGCGUAUGGGGCUUUAUCACCCGCUCUGUAGGCCCGGCCGGCGCUUGCCGAUCAACCCAAAUUUUUAUCCAGGUUGACCUCGGAUCAGGUAGGGAUACCCGCUGAACUUAAGCAUAUCAAUAAGCGGAGGA
This 345-nucleotide unclassified non-coding RNA is filed under the name soil metagenome. Its description in RNAcentral is "partial contains 5.8S ribosomal RNA, internal transcribed spacer 2, and large subunit ribosomal RNA". The stretch from base 1 to 119 matches the Rfam family "5.8S ribosomal RNA", at positions 35 to 154 of the family's 154-position model. The record is from RNAcentral.